CAUGCAGUGAUGCAAUUUCAUCUAUUCACUUAAACUGUUUCACAGCAGUCAUAUCUUUUUUAUUGGUUGGAGGACACAAGCUUUUUCACAGUUAUAAAAUGUUUUAUUUGGUUAUCUGAUUGUUCACAUUUUUUCCCCAGUUAAAUUACCUUUCUGAGGUGAUUUGACUUAUAUUGCUUUAGCUUUGUGAAAAUUAUUAUUUCAAAGUACCAAGAGCACAUGUGAAUUCUCAGCAUGCUAUUUGGUUUAUAUGUGAUAAAUGCAAUCAAUCAAAAUUAUAACAACUUGUAACUUGCACCUAAGUUACUGCUAAUUUUUGCUUCUGUGGCUGAUUUCCCUUUAGCAGCUAAGAUGAAGUCAAACACAGAAUUUCCUGUGUCGUGUGUAACCCUAUCUGAACUGGUUAUUUGUCAUCUGCAAUUCAUACAUCGUGGACUUUUUACUUCCUUCAUUUACAUUUCAGGUUGAUGUUUCCCAUAAUAACUCAUUUUUGUUUUUCCCCAUACAGAUUAUAAAUAAUUUUUUUAAAUAGAAAAGUGCCCUUUUCUUUCCUGUGAUUUGUUGUUCUGUUGGGAACACUGGCUGGUAGCCCGGCUCGUGCCUUAUGCCAUUGGAAAUGCAUUGUUGGUGCAUUGAUAUCGCUAGUAGGCAUAUUGUGGCUAUGCAGUUCCAAUUCUCCCUGUCACCUAACUAUGAAGCAAUAUCAUCAUGGUUAGUCAACAGCCUCAGGCAUGUCAUAGUCAAUAAACUGCUUCAUGCUGAACUUUGAUUGUUAGAGUGGGAUAUGUGCAUAGAAGUGCAUCAAUGAUUCUACAAUUAUGGCAAGAAACUGCCUUGUGCAAAAAUCAUCUCAACAGUGCCUGAUAAACAACACCAAAUGUCAAUACACAGGGGCAUGUACAUUUUAAUGUAGCAGAUCUCAUAUGCAGUAAACAUCUGGGGUCAAUUUUUAGCUCAGUCAGCAAGACUAUAUUACAACCGAGGGAAACUGGAUUACUUUCUGUGCACUGAAAUUACAACUGGGACAUUUAUAGCCUGUGAUACCAAAAUACAGAACACUAAAGAAAGCAUUUUCUUUUGGGCAGCUAUUUCCAGAUUUUUUGAGACCCUGUGGAAGAUGGAUGUGGAUGACAGUUUGUGCUGGAUGAAUAUUAGCCCGUAAACAGUUGAUAAAUGACUAAUAAAUAUUUUCAUAAAUGGCCGCUCUGUUGCUACAGAGUCCGACAGGUUGCUCAUAACCAUCUGUAACUCCUAUUUGCUAUGCAUUUAGUACGCUUAGAGCUCCUGCUAACCCUUUGAUUAAUCCCAUUUGGUUAGUCACAGUUGGGUGACAAAUACUUCUUCCCUAUUUGUAAAAGGAGAACAGUGAUACUGGCCUUGUCUGUAAGGUAAGAGAGAGGUCACGUAAUUCAUUAGCAUUGUCACCCAGGCAUAAGCUAUUAAGAAUGUACUCUGAAUAAUGAAUUGCUACAGUGAACAUAGCCUUUAGGAGAAACAAUAUACCUGAACUCUGGCUUCUGGGAGGUUUAUCUUUGCUGCCAGUUGAUUGCGAAUAUGGACAUCCGGGUAGUGAGUCACUUGGAAAAUCCUCUCCAGUUCCUGGAGUUGCUCAGCUGUGAACGUUGUCCGGAUUCUCCGUUUCCCUUUCCUCUCAACUGUGAAAACAAAGAAAGGUGUAUUGCUUUUUACAGGAACAACCUACAGGACUACAAGAAGAUUCAAAGAGCACAUUGCACAGGAUUACAUUGAUGGUUCUUGAAUAUCUCCUGUGAGGGAGAUUCCACAGCCUCUCUGGGCAACUGAUUGCAGUGCUCAAUUACCCAUCCCUAUCUUUUCCUGUCAUACUGAUCUUACCAAGCUUUCCUCCAGCUCUGAUGUAUUAUUUUAUUGCAUUGUCACUCUACAAAUUUGGAUGAAUUUUCUCCUCCCAACAAGAUCAAAGAGUUUCCAAAAUGUGUGAAUGUUGUGGAGGGAAGUUGACCAUUACAGACUGACUCACCACUGUUCUCUUCCCAUACCAUUCCUUCAGCAGUAGGGAUAGCCAGCAGUUUGACUUUGCAGUUAUAAAGAAAAGGUAUUUUUCUGACUAUACCAUUGUGGUGUGUGGACUUUCUAAACAAGCUUAGCCUUCAUAACUUAACCUUAAAACAAGGCCUUAAAACCCAUGGGGAAGUUUCGGUGUUGUGAAUUCCUCAGGGGACUCAUAGACUGCUCCAUUCCUUCACCUGCUGUGGUGUGACCAUGCUAAAGACGUCCCUCAGCGCUUCUAUACUGUUUUGAAAAUGCCCUCCUACACCAGGUAUUUUAUUUAGAUCAUGAACUUUGUGUGACACUUGGUGUAAGUUAAAAUAAGGUCUAAGUUGCUCUGAAAUGAUGCUGAAGGGCUGAUGUCUUUCAAGGAGGAGGGGAAAAGAGCAGCAGAAGUGAGCUCUGAGGCAGCUGAUCUGCGGAAUGUGGAGUGCAGUCUUGUCCCAAGGCUGGAAUCCUCUCUGAUGCACAAGUGGAAUAUCUUCCAACUGACAUUGAAUGACCAGCACAAAAAGCCAUGCCCCAAGUGCAGUGAGUCACAGGGUUUCUUCUACUGAGCUUGGAAAACUGCAGCCUGAUAGGAGCAUAAAAAUUCCGAUAUCAUUAGUGGCUAUGAUGAGUUUGCUAUUCAGUGACCUGAAGCAAUUGUCAAUGAAACCUUGUUGCUCAAAAAAAUGACUGCUUUGAAUAACUGCUUUUGGUCUUCCAUGGUCCGAUGACAACUACCAAUUCAUACUAUGUAAGUAGAUGCAUACCCUUCCUAAUGGGAACAGUUAAACAGCAGUCCCUCAAAGAAACUUUGUGCUUUCUUUUCAUCCCUUUUUGUUCAUCUAUUAGCAUAUGCUUUUCCUUUUGAAGGCUAAAACUGUGAAAAGGUAACUAAAUGACUUGGCCAAUAUAAAUUGGGCUCUGUGCCAACCAGAAAAUGGCAUUUUCAUCUCUAAUCAAAACCUCAUCGUGACUCUGUUAACAUAGAAAAUAAGGAAUAAAAAUUCUGUCCAUUGACUUGGUGGGAAAGAGUCUGGGACACGAUACCACUACGAAUAUUUCAUAAUUUCUAAACAUUUUGGGUACUUUGAAAGGAAACCAGUCAUGCAAGAAUAACUGAGGAGUGUCAUUUAUCAUAAACACUGUCAAUACUACCUUGUCUCAGAAACAGCCUAAUAAAGCUGAUGUCCAACACAGUUAAAUCCAUGUCAUUAGGCUUUCCACCAGACUAUCAAAGUACUACUCAUUAAACUGCAGCACUUGCUUCAGCCCCCAGAGAAAAAUGUUAUUUACAUUGAAUCUUGCUGGCACUAUUGGAGCAGAGAUUUGAGAUGAGAAAUAUUUUUGUGUGUUUAUACUGAAGGUAUGAAUGGGCACUGUCUCCUAAGAAGCCCUGAUUACAUCUACUUCAACCUUUCCAAAAGAUGUCUGUAAGGGGGUUUAUUGCUGCAUCCAAUAAAGGGAGAUAUCAGUGCUGACAGCAUGAAUCUCAGGACACUACAUCCCCUGUAGAUAUGAUAGGGUUCAUGGCUCAUAAUGGUGUUUCUUGUCUGAAAGAUUUUCACCUCACACAUCUAUGUGGGGACUGCUCUCCAUAUACUCCAGGGAGAUACUCCAGAGAGGUAAGAUUGAGUACCAAGAUGUUAUUUUGUCAAGCACAUUAUGUUCUAUCAUACAGUAGUGAAUCUCUCUGCCGUAUUUGUAUCAAUACGAUUUAUGGUAUCUACACUGCUCUACUACAGGGCAAUUCAUGUAGUAGAUCCCCACAACAAGUGAAGUUUACCCUAACCUUGUCACAGUCUCAGAAAUUUGAUGCCUCCCUGAGAUGUCCUGUAUGUCUCUCUGAACACUAAGCUGAGUUCCUGCCUCUAUCCAGAGUAGAAGACUGGCUCUACAAAUCUGGGAGAAGCUGCAAUCUAUCUUCAGCAUUUCCAGAACGAAGCAAGAAAUCCAAGCUCAAACUGUGACCAAGCUCCUUGUCCCUGUGGUCCCAAGCAUACAAAAAUAUCUGGGAUGCUGGCAGGGUUCUUGUCCUGCCAGGUUUUGUAUGCCCAGGCAGGCUGUGUACCUUCUAGCAACCAGAAAGCCUUUGGAAGAAAGAGAACAAACCUGCCUGCAUCCUGGAAGUUUCUGAAUUAGAAAAAAAUUACCCCCCCCACUAGAUGAACUGGAUUAUAAUUUCAUGACUCUGCAAAGCAAGAACAAAACUGUCUACAGUUUAAACCAUAAGAUGUCACAUCAAAUAAUAAUAAAAAGGUGUAUUUUAGUAUUCUAUCAGAAUACAAAAAAUAAUGAUUUAGUCCCUUCUGUCUCAUACAUUAACCAGACUUGGUUAAAAGAAUUGGGGUGACUGAACUGAACCAUGAUGGGAUUGAAGUAAAUGCCAAAGACUAGCUGGAUCAGACCUCAUUGUGAUAGGCACCAUGCAAACAGCAACCAUUAGUUCUUGUCUUAGGCAGGACACUUGGUACAGAGUUUAUUGGAUUAAUCGACCUAGACAAAUUCAAGAAAUCAGUUGUCACAAACAAUGCUAUACCACGUCUGCAGGGCUCAGGUGUGGAAUAAACUCAGUAGUGAAGAUCAUGAGUUUAGAAGGAGCUGCAAAAUCUUUGCUGCAAAGAGUACAUGAGAAUGAGAAGGCAAAGGCUGUGCACAGCUGGUGUAAAUUUGGGAAGCAACUUUUAGCUGAGCUGGGACACCUUAUGGUACUUGAGAGACAGAUCCAUUGCCUUGAACCACACAGUAUUUUAAGCUGCUGGAAAUGGGAUGGGCAAGGCGUCUGUCAGAUCAUGGUUUACUAUAUUCUGUGCCAUUACCACCUAAGAAGCAUCCAGGACUAGAGAGCAUGGCUUGAGAGAGAACUGGUUCAAGAGUUUCUUGUGUCUCAGAUCAGUUUCUUUGGUGUGAAAAUGACCCAGAUAACUUGGUGAUGGGCAAAAGAAACUCCCUAUCAGUUCGCUCUGAUAUCCUUCACAUUUUUCCUUCUUGAAAGGUGAACUGUUUUACAAACAAAACUCUUACAUAAGGGAAGGGUCUACACAGUGCUCAGAAGUGUCAAUCCUACUGAAAUCAAACUUUUCAAAGCCAAAAUUCAUCAGAUUGAACAAAAUACAGUAACAUGAGGUCAGUUAUGGGCCAGUAGAGACUGAAGGACAAGCUUUGAUUUCAACUAGAAAUAGAAUUAAAUUGAUAACAAAAUAGAACCCUGUGAAUUAAUCAAAGCUUUUACCAGUAGGAAAUCCAGAAAUGUGCAUUUUUUCUACAAGUAAUCAGUCAUUUUAUUUUUAUUUUUUUAAACUAUUAAGAAAUAAAAAAAAAAAUCUUGGACUCUGUGUUAACAUCUGCUCUUGCAAGAUGAAACUUUCUCUGACUGUAUCUGUGAUACUUCCCUUUGCCUUGGGACCUUAGCUUAGAGAUCCCAUAGCAAACAACAGCAUUCAGAAUUACAGUCUAAUAAAGAAUGUGGGUGGAAGAUAUAAGACUAGAAAGUGUUGGAAGUGUAACAUUGGCUUUUCAAAUGUGGCUAUAGAGUCUCUGGGGAAAUAAGACUCUGUCUGAGUUUCCUGAGCUAUUUUUUUAUGUAAAAGCUGGGGAUAUUCAAGUGUGCUUUUAUGCUCUGUGAAAGUCAUUUGCAGGUUAGCUGACUGCUGAAACCAAGCCUGAAAAUACCAGGCAGCUAAAUAUGUCAGCCUUCUCAGAUGCUUAGAGAUACAGCUGUCUAUACAUUGCCUUGCUGUUGACAUUGGAAGGGCCAGAUUCUCCAAGCUGAUAAAGCAGUAUAGCUCCUUUAAAUUCAGUAGCAGGCUCAUUUGUCCUCUGCAGAUCUACUUUCUUACCAGGUCAGACUUGGAGCAAGUUGGGACAUUUGAACUUUGUAGAAACAGAGAUUCGUCUUGAAGGUACAGAGUGGAAGGAUGAGGUCAAUGGCUACAAGUUGCAGCAAAGAAAAUUCUGAUUACAGACUAGGAAAAAAAUAUUUUCAUCAUGAAGAUAGUCUGACAUGGGCCUGGAGAAGCUGAAGUCUCAGUGCUUGGAGACAUUCUGAACUUGACUGGACAAAGGCCUAAGCAAUCUGAUUUAAGCUGGCUCUGCAUAGAUUUGGGGUUGGACAAGGUGGCCUCCAGAGGUCUCACCCAACUUACUUUUUUAUGUGAUCUCUGACCUACCAAUACCCACAUAGGGUAAAACCACCCCGUCAUUUCUUCCCUAAAAAAGUAAGGGAGCUUAAGUCUUUAAUACUAUGCACAGCUCAAAGAGUCUGAUUUGCAAUUGCUUAUAUACACAGUUUUAGCUUAACAUAUAAUGGCUUAUUUUCACUGUCCUGUAUAACACAGUUUCAAGAUAUUAGAAGUAGGAGCAAAUCAAUACUGAAUACUGAAUACUGAAUGCUUGUACAUGUCUGCUAACAUUCACAGUUUGCUAAGUAGAAGUUGUGCAGCUGCAACAAUGCCAUACUUGGGGCAAAUUUCUUCUGGGCUAUAAUCUGUAGUAGGCAGAUAGCCUAUGGUACACCUUGCACUGCUGUUUCUCAGCUGCCCUGCGUAUCUGAACCAGCUAGAAAAAUGCUAUCUCAGGGAGAUCUCUGCAAUUGCAUUCCCCAUUUGCACUUACCCCUUUAGCAGGCUAAGACUGUUUCAAGCCUACUUGGUCUCAUUACAUGGGUGCAUACACUGGAGGGAUAAGGAAUUAAAAACCCAGGAGAAAGGCUGGAAGUCAGUGCUGGCACAUAUUUGGUUUGUUGGAGGUAAACCGGAUAGGUGAAAACUGGUGCAAUCCUAUUUGUCUUUUCUGGACAGACACUCUCUCAUGGUAUGGGAUAUCCAAAAAUUUUGUUUCUUCUUUGACAAGGAGAAAGCAGUUACAUAAGCAAGCAAGUGGCUUUAGCUACACAUCCUCAGAAAUACAUUUUUGUCUGUGCAACAAAGUUGACUGUAUCACUUGUUUCUCAGAAGCAAAUUCAGGUGUGUUGAAAAAGAGCCUCAUUAUAUCGGGUUAAGUUUUGUUUUCUCCUUCUUGCCUUUGAAAAAGAUGUUCCUCUCUCUUCUCUUCAAUUAGAUAUAUGGGUCUCCAAGCUAGUUCCUUCCUGUGGCUUUUCUGAACGUGGUUAUCUUGUGGUGACAUUGUGCCCAUGACAGACAGCCCCAUAGAAAAAAACCACAGUUGCAACUCUAUCAAAGGGUUAUUACACAGUACUGAUGGUAUUAGGACAAAAUGUUGUGUACAGAGAUGUGCCCAUGGCAUUCCCUCUCCUAGUUAAAGAGGUGGCUUAUGGCUUUCAGAAGAGCUUGUGCUGCAAUAUUUAGCUGGGACUAUUGCAGUGUGGCUAAUCUUUAUUAAAGUGGUUUUUCAGCCUUUGUUGAGAAGCACUAGCAUAGCCAGCGAGACUGAUCCUAAUUGGAUAGGUACAAUGUGCUCCAGAUAAAGCCUCCUGCUAGUGAAAUGCAGCCUUUAGCACCCAGCUGCUGACUGUUCAGGCAUUGCCAAAGUUAAGAGAGAGAGGCACAACUUGAACUUUUAAAGUCUUGACUUCCUCCCUUCAGUCCACAACUCCUUGACAGAAAGUUGCUUCCACCUUGGUGUUGAGAGCAGUGCCUUAAUCACUUGACAGCAAGACUGAAAUGCAGAGAGGUACAGACUUCAGGUAGUGUGAGCAGCAAUGCUAAAAAUAUCAGGCCAGAAACCUGUUUAGGCAAGCUGAACAGUGGUGGCCAAGGGAGUUUCUUAGUCUACUUGUCAAAGGAGUUGGCAAGGAGUAGACAGUAUGUAUGAAACCAUUCAUGCGAACAGUUUGUUGUGGAGGAUUGUGCUCACCAUCAGCCUGAGCCCCUGGUGAAUUUAACCUUUCUCGUCUGCCAGCAAAGUGAUGACAGUGUUUACAAGUGCUGCUGCCUGAAAUGGUGUUGUGCAUAAGUCUGGCACAGCCAGUGGUCAGCAGAACAUCUGAAGGAUGAAGCAUGCAGGCUGUGGUUCGAGGGGCCUCAGCUGACAGGGGUGUGUGUCAGUUUCCAUCAUCUGAAUAUCAGAGAAUCAUAGAAUUGUUAAGGUUGGAAAAGACCUCUAAGAUCAUUGAGUCCAACCAUCAGGUCUGUACCUAGGCUGAAGAGCCUGCACCUUCUUGAACUCCUUCAGGCCAAAGUAGAUUUGGGGUACAUGUGUACGUUCCCCAUUCUGCUAAAUCUCAAACUUGAAAUGUACUUUCAGUGAAUGUUUAGCCAUAGUCAAACUUCAUCUUAAAAGAAGUGGCCAGCCUAAACCAAUAAUGGUUCUCAACAAGGAAAACAGGUUCCCCACCACUCUUUCCACACUGUCUGGUCCAACAUCUUUGUGAAAAACAAGCCAUUUGACCAGGGAGAAAGCUGAGCUUAUUGCAGGUUUCACAGACAGCCUGUUUUCUACUUUAUUCCUGCUCUUUGGGGUUCUUUGUACCUGCAAACAUCUAGACAUCAAUCAGGCAUGCUUAUUUACAUCCCUGCCUCAGAGUCUGUCCUCCGAGAAAGCGUAACUCCAUCAUUAUUUUGGUAUGUAGUUUCUGCUGUUUCCCCUUUAAGCAUAAAGGCCUUGCUAAUACAGUAAGUAAAACACCUGCCCUCAAUUUCAAAGAACAAUAAUUAAAAGUACUAUAUCCCGGGGACGUAAUGAAAAGUUCUAGGACAAUUUAAGUGAAGCCAAGUGUUCAUUAAGACCUUUGAAAUAAACUUAUCAAGAUGUGCCAUCAGCUUUACAAGUGGUCACGUUACACAGAUUUGACCAGCAGGAACAAAUUAACCUCUGAGUCCUGUAUAAGGUACCCUUUGGAUUCAAAAUUCCCAGAAAAGAAGAGACUGCUUGAGGAAAGCAUUGAAUGCUAAUAUUUGCUUUAACUAAAUAAAAGUCCAACCCCCAAACCCAUGAAGAAACAACACAAAUGAAAUUUAUGAUAGUCCCCCAGCUGCUGACAGCUUUGCUUUGUUCAGUGCUUACUUGCAUCAGUGAGACUUUUAUUUUUGAAGGGCAGGAGUAAAGGAUUAAGGUUUUGUGCCUUUCAUUUAAUAUCCAGGGUGUCCUUAUAAACAGUCAGUCUGCAAAGAGGGAGAAAAAAAAAGGACCAGCCUUUAACAAUACCUCAGGCAAACCCACCAAAACAAGGUCAAUGGUCUGGGGCAUUUCUAAAUGUAUAUAGAAGAACACUGCACUUCAGAGACACAGGGCUGCAGGGACUAUUCACACAGAUAAACAAAAGACUGGUAAGACAGCUAAUGGCAGCCAAACUAUAUAUAUAGGCAUUCAUUUUUUUUCCUCUUGCUUUUCCUUUUCGUUUAGAAUCCUUCUUUUUGUUCUGCAGGACAGUGGGAUGCUUGUGCCCUUUCUCGGAGUCCCAUUGGCAUAUUCUGGGCAGCUGAUAUUUAUCUGGGACUGUGAUUAUACGGUGCUUCAUUAUCUCUUGGGUGUUUCAAAAAUGCAUUAAGAUAAGUCAGCAUAUUGGGGAAAAGACUGUUUUGUGAGAGAUAAACCAUGCUGUUUCACAGGGGUACAUGGAUUUGACCAUAUUGUUCGCAAAUGAACAGUACAAGUGAAUUUAUGACUUCAGAGAAAACAUGAACAUUAAGCUAAAGAUGUCUGCAACUGGCAUCAGUACAGAGGGAACAUGAUUUACACUGGAAUUUCUCCAGAACUGAAAUUAUCUCUAUACUUUCCAUUGUCUUUAUCAUAAUUGUCAUCAGAAUUUGUAUAUGCUUUGGGAUCACAGAUGCUACCAUAAUAAUAAAACAAUGAGAUAAAUAAAAAGAUCCCUGAGCUCCCAGUCAGCAUUGUGUGGAGGAUUUUCACUAUGGAAAUAUUUGGGUGACGUUGACUCACUAUGGCAGCUUCCUUUACAGUGAAUAAUGAAGACAUGAGCUGCAGGAAAUAACACGAGUCCCUGAACCACCUAGGCUUCACAGCCAGAACCUCUCAGUUUCUGGUGGAAUUAGGAGCUAGUUCUGUUUAUUGAAGCGUGAUCUAUCCUGUCCUUGAAUUAUUGCUCAGAGAAGGUAUCCCACAAGACCAGAUAACCACCAGUGUCUUAAAGUGAUGCUGCUGUCUGGCUUCUCCAAGGCACUGAUUGUUCCCUUGCUUGAGCAGAAGACUGGAAUCAUUACCCAUGUGCAAUGCUGGGCACAUUGACCCACUGCCUUUGGAUGUAAAUAUUUACAGUGCACACACACACACACACACACAAAUGUAUACAAUCGGACCCAGUAUGUGUAAAAGACAUUGCAAAAUAAUUGUCCAUAAGGAUUUGAACUAGGCUGGGAUCUUGUACAUGGCAUUCUCCAUCAGGAGCUGCCACAGGUCAGGUAGGCAUGGGGAUAUGUUGUUGUCUCAGGCUCCAGUGCUUGACUGUUGUGAACUGGUCAAGUCCCAAGGACAUCAGAGUGAGAAAAGAGAACUAAUUAAAAGGAAAGUGGGAGCUCAGGAUUUGGGUGUUUACAUAUUGUUGAGAUGCCGAGUGACCGCCACAAGAGUUUGCCCUUGCUUUAGCAGCAAUGGUGGUUGCAAAUACCAAAGUGGCUGCAAUUACUCAUCUGACAGAGAGCUGGCCCAAGUAGAGUCUGUACUGGCAGCUCAAAGGCCUCCAUUAGAAUGAUCUCCUUCUAAAACAGGUUUUAUCAAUGCUGUUUCCCAAGAAUCCAGCUUUUUUGAAAAGGUUCUGCUGAGCUCUUCAUGAAGAAAGCCACACAGGUGAAAACACUCCACACUGAGGACAAAGGCUCCCAAAUUCAAAUGAGGGCUUAGCAAAACCAAAUGCCACUGUCAGCAUGUCUCUAGUAUAUGAGAGCUCUUCUCUUUUUUUGCUUACAAUGCAGUCUCUAAGUUCAAAGUACAAGAGGCAUUGCUCCCUGCAAAUGGUUUGUGAUAAGGGCAUAAAUCUAUUUAGCUUAAAUGACACUGCAUUUCUAAACCGCUUAGUGGCAGAAGCCAUUUUUGUGGGAAAAACAAAUUUUUAGGGACACUUCAUUGUUACAGGGUUUCCUGGAAAUAUGCUCCAAAUUCAUGCUCUGGGUCACAGUCAGGGUGCUCUUGUUAUCUCAGACCACCUGCCCAUGAAGGGGGCUACUGUCAUAGCCUCCUCCUCACUUUUCUCACUCUAUCAAAAAAAUCACCAAAGUCCAGCCCUCCUUCCUCCAAGGUGAUUGUAUAGUGUUCCUGAUUUCUUCUGUUCCCUGACAAUUAAACAGAUGUGUAUACCUAGAUGGAGCCCAGUGCCUUUCCUCACAAAUGAUGUAGGUGUUUUAUAUAGAUAGAGGUAGGCUGAGAGAGGGAGGUGAGGGAGCACCCUGCCAAGAGCUUCUGAUGUCUUUCACAUCAGGAAGGUUUCCUGCUGCUGAGGUUGGUGCCGUUCCCUUGGGUGGUUGUGGGCAUCCUCAGUGUGGUUGUGAGGGAGAUCCUAGGGACACUUCCAUGGCAUAUGUUAUGGGCAUUUGGCACUGCGCAGGUGUCUUGUCAGAGGACCCGUAACCAAUCUCUAGCUACCAUGCCAAAAGUGCGUCUGAAGCACCCCAGAGUCGAUAGACAUGUAAAGAGAAGUUAAUUUGCUAUCAGCUUGAGCUAUGAGGAUUAUAGACUGCUUACAGGGAUGAUGCAGUCUACCCAUCCUGCAGGUACUGCUGCUGAUUUCAUCAAGGAAGGGUGACACCAGCCACAGCCAGGGGCAAGAGAAAAAGAUCCACCAGCAUUUUCCCCUAAUGUUAAGUGGAAGAAGAAGGUUGAAGCUUAAGAUGCUGUAAAGACCAGCAUUAAAACUGGGCCUCCAGCUCUCUGCUAAGAAUGACACAGUGCAUGAACAGGAUCCGAAACAUCAUCGUUUGUGCACUGUAGGGAAAAUGCCAAUCCAGUUCUUUAGGAUCAUCCCUCCUUCAUCAGCCAGUUUCUGUCAAAGGCUCGAUAACUGCGGGAACCAGUAGCCUAGAAAAUGGCAGAUCAUUAAACCUCUGCUUGGUUUCAAAACCCCACCGCCUCCAGGGAACAGAUGGAUUUUGUUUAAAAUGCCUUUGAAAUAUAAGUUGUCAUUGAAAGGGUCUGCUCAUCUUGGCUCAGUUUUGUGCAGAUAAUUACAUGCUUCCUCCCCUGCUUUACUGAUGAGGCUGAUACAGACCGUGGUGCUGGUCAAUGAGGCUAAGCACCAAGUUGGGGCAGCCACCUCCCACCUCUGGUGUGAUACUUGUAGCUGGGGACUCCCUCACACAUGAAAUAUGGUAUUUUUAUACUCAGAGGCAACUCUGAGUGUCAGAUACAUACAGCCCUGGCUCUUCUGUGAGGAGGCAACAGGAUUUUACCCUGCUACCAUCAGCUGUGUGCAGCUUACAGGGCAGAGGGAGGCUAAAAUACCCAGUUAUCUUACAAGGCUUCUCUCUGCAUCAAGAUUGAUGUCUGCCUUGUGCAGGAGGAGGAGAUGACAGCAGCUUGUCACAAGACUGAUGUAUACCUUAGCACCAGCAGCAGAAACAAAGCUUUUCUUUUAAAUGUAUUUCACAGAAAGAGUUGUUUCCACUGCCAGCUUGCAGAGUAUGGAGCAGGGAUGAUGUGUGGAUCUCCGGGAAGCCAGAUGAGUAACCCCGCAUCUGUGGUAACAUGAGCCCAUUAGUAGUUUUCAACUGACUUAAAUGAAACUCCCUUUUUUUUUUCUGGAGUAAAUAAUAACAAAUUGUGUAGGAAACACCUUUCUACUGCUACUGAAAACCUGUUUUCUGGAGUGUAGUAUAAACAUCUGUGUUUACCUUUCCUCAAAUUCAAAGAACUUAAAGCAAUUUUUGUCAUGUUAUUAAUAAAUUGCUGCCUGAAUGUUAGGAACUUGUCUUGUUCUGGUACCAUGUAUCCUGCUUAGCCUAAAGUCUCCGUGCAACAUAUUGGAAAAGGCUAUUUGUACUGCCUAGUGCUUUGGCUGAAAGAUAGACUGCUGUUUGUUGACACAUCCUGCCAGAUCUAUGCACAUAAACAGUUUGCCUGUGUGUGUGCUGAUGACCUCUCCAUCACCCGUACAGUGGGUCCAAGGUGUACAGAACACAUUGAGCUGAUUAGGCACAUUCAGCAGCCAGUCUCCCUACAUUGUGCAAUGCACAUUUACCAGCAAACGGGCGUUGCACAACCCUGGGAGUAAGGCUGCCCAGCAUGGUAACUCAGUAGAUUGCCACCCCAAGCAGGAGGGCAAUAAACACCCAAAGCAGUCCCUAUCACUAACAUUGGUAGGGCUGGCAGGCCUGAGGUAGAUCUUUAGCUCAAAAGGUGGCUCUCCAAGUUUUUGAUGGCAAGAGUGAAGAGUUACCAUCCCUGUGACUCAUCCAGGAGCUAUGACCAUCUACUGUGACUCAGCCAGUGGAAACAUUCUGCGACAUCUGUUGCUAGGUGUUCACGUCCUAUGUCCUCACCCAGGAGGGACACUGGGCUGUCUCUAGGUCUUCUGCAGUGAGUUGCCUGCCCUCUCUUUGCUCUGGCAAUAGGUGUAGCACAUGUGGUGGAGAGAAGUAUUUUGGCUGAAGAUUCCUCUUGGGUGGACAUGAUUUCAGGAUGAGAAGAGGCUGAACUUCUGGAUUCAAACAUCAUUAUGUCCCUUGUCAAAAUGUCACAGGAGCCUGAAGUGACUAGAAAAGCCUGAGGUGACAGAAGUCUUUGCUAUUCUCACCAGCAAACACAACCCCCUGGGAUUUUUGUAAGAACAGUGUUCUAAUCUAAACUACGGUCAGACUGACAGUUAUUCCUCUAGAAAAUAUGGCUACUUGUGCUUGAGCAAAGAGUCUGGUACAAUAAAACUGGAUCAUCACACUGAGUCAGUUAGUGCUGAGGCUUCUAUUCUCCACUACAUGCAGACUGAAAGCCUGCUGGUCUGAAGGCUUGGGUGUCCCUGUCAUGCAUAUGUGUUGAACUUGUACAAAGAGAAACCCUCCCACAAACCUUUGCUUCCUUGCUUAUGAGCCCAUCUGUGAAGCACCACAUUAUUGUUUUGUAUUUCAAGCAAAUGAUGGGGACAUCUUAAUGUUCCUGUCAGCUCUAAUAAGGUUUCCCAUAUUUAAAGAAUAUUUAAUCUGCCUUUAUUUGUGCAUUUCCAAGUGACAUCAUAAUGCUGCUAUCUGAACUCCCCAGUUCUAGUUCAUUCAAUGUUCAAAAAAAGUGUCACAGAUGGAGUAUGAGGGAUGACAACAGUGGCCUUGACUCUACAGCAGAUACUCUGGGAGAACACUUGAGAAUAGUGAUGCUGCCUCUCUUCCCCUGCCAUGGAGAAAUACUGGAAGCCCUUGCCACUGUGACUGCUUUGGCUGUGGUUCUGGAUCUAUGAGGCAAACUCUGACUGAUGAAACAGAAUUGUUCUUAGGACAGAGUACAACCAGCAGUGAAUGCCUUUCAGAGGUUGUGGGGCAAGUCUGAGGUCCUCAGCUAUGAACUAGUGCUAUGUUUUCAUCGCCAUUGGACCCAGUUCUGUGAGCCCAUAGCUGUGUUAGAGAGUGACUGUUGCCCUGGGGAGUCAAAAUUUUACCCCUAGUAAUGGAGUAGUUUGGUGUAGGCAAGACUAUCACAGAUAGAAAGGUGACUGAUACUUCAGGGGUAUUCUAUAAGGCACUUUUUUUUCCAAACAAGUGAGAAACAUCAGCGUGACUAUUCAGGAAUUUAGUCAGAUGCAGUCAGCUGAAACAAGUGCAGAAAAGCACGGGCAAUAUUUUGAACACUAAGUGACAUUCAUCCCCUUGGAGUGAUAUAACCAGCUCCCCAAAACAUGUGGAGGUAGUGUUAUAUCAGAUUUGUUAAGGCGUUGUCCUAUUACAGGGACAGAUACUGCUUCUGAAGUGACCAUAAUAGCUCUGAGGAAGACGUAAAUACAGCAUCAGAGGAAAAAAAGUCAUGAAAGAAAAAGAGAGAAGGAUAAAUAAAGGUUCUGCUCAUUGGGCCAUACCAUCAGGAGAAGCACAGCAGAUGCCAGGCAUGCAGCCUAAUCUCACACCUAGGCUCAGGAGGGAACUGAGAAGUGCAUGCUUGGGAAGGGGGUGGGACUACUGCUUACUGUUACUGAGCAGAAGCCAUAUGAGGUCACUGGUGAAGGAUCAGUGGCUAAGAAAUUAUUUGACCCCCAUUGGUGCACUGCAGAUGGACUGUGACAGUUAUCUGGCUUCAGGUCAUUGUCAGACAGCCAAAUGCACAAGUCCUUUAGAAGGAGACAAAGGAUUUAAGUAUUUCCUGAUGGCUUCUGACAUUGCUUGUAAUUUUAUCAAGUGUGCAAGUACUCUGCAGUGACCAGGAACAUAACUGGAGGCACGCAUGGACCGAUCACAUGCCCCCAUGUCUAUGUGAGACACUCACCUACUCAUGCUGCAGACAAGCUGUCCUUGGUAUUUCCAACUAUCUGAGGUCAAUCAAGAUUCAAACUACAUUUUGAGAUGGUCUGCUUUCUGGAGUGUCAGGAUGGUACUGCUUAAGGAGGGGAUAUUAAUGUUAUGUCCACAAUAGCAUUCCAUACUCAAAUAAAAAGGAUUAAAAAAAAUGUAAGUAAGAUAAAGAACUAGACAGCAAUGGGAGACAGGAAAAAACCUCAUCAGUCACCUAUUAGUUAGCUUCACUGCUUGUUUAUUAGUAUUAUCUUUAUGUGGUGUUCAUGGCUGUUUUGUGUGUGGAGUGUUGCUGUGCAACAGCAAAACUUGCCACAAAUUAAAAUUCACCCAACUUACAUGAAAAGAAGAGAAAAAGAGCUACCUGUUCUCAGCAUGAAUUUUUUUUUCAACUGAUUUCAUCCUAGGCAAUUAACUUCUUGUGAGAAAAGACCUAUUUUGUGCCACGGGGGAAGGAAAAAUACCCAUGCCAUAAAAUAUAGUGAAGGCUGAAGCAAAUUGAGCUGAAUUCAAAAAGUACUCAAGCAAAGAGGUCAAGUGAAAUUGCUCCAUAAAGUGUUCAUUUCUAGCCUUUCUUCAGAGCUUCAACCAGCACAGCAAAAACUCUGAUGCCCCAUUACCCUUAUUUCAAAUACUUGCUUCUCAGCAGCUCAGUUCCCACAAUGGUGACAGAAGGCAUUUCUCAAAAAAAAAGGGAAAAAAACCCCAACAAACAGACCAAAUCCCAAAACUUGUCAACUCGUCCAGUUCAAUGCAGCCUACCCAUGGGCAAACAAAACCAAGUUUUUUCCAUUUUUGCCUUGCAGGGAUCAUCAUUUCAGCACUAAAGAAUUCCUCCUGAAA
Long non-coding RNA from Pseudopipra pipra, 16190 nucleotides. RefSeq lists it as uncharacterized. Lineage: Eukaryota; Metazoa; Chordata; Aves; Passeriformes; Pipridae. The record is from RefSeq and is a predicted model, not a curated record. The transcript is spliced from 3 exons.